RNAcentral lists this small RNA (203 nucleotides) under Pseudomonas aeruginosa PAK. RNAcentral describes it as "potential sRNA". Lineage: Bacteria; Pseudomonadati; Pseudomonadota; Gammaproteobacteria; Pseudomonadales; Pseudomonadaceae. The record is from RNAcentral.
AGCACAUGGCCAACUUCUCGAUCCGCGACGAGUGAUCCGCAGUCCGCGCGGGCCGUCACCCCGCGCGGAGCGACGAACCCCUUUUCGAAGGGCUCGGGGAGAGGAACGGUCGGCGAACUCCGGUGUUCGCCGCCGCCCUCUUCCUUCCCCGCCCACAAGGCGGGGUAAAGGAAGCGAACGCCCGGCCGGGAGAUUCACGGCCU